AUGAUGUGUCUAGGUGGUUGAGAGGCAGUAGGCCUAUGGGUAUGAUGUGUCUAGGUGGUUGAGAGGCAGUAGGCCUAUGGGUAUGAUGUGUCUAGGUGGUUGAGAGGCAGUAGGCCUAUGGGUAUGAUGUGUCUAGGUGGUUGAGAGGCAGUAGGCCUAUGGGUAUGAUGUGUCUAGGUGGUUGAGAGGCAGUAGGCCUAUGGGUAUGAUGUGUCUAGGUGGUUGAGAGGCAGUAGGCCUAUGGGUAUGAUGUGUCUAGGUGGUUGGUUGAGAGGCAGUAGGCCUAUG
This is a non-coding RNA of Salmo salar (Atlantic salmon), 288 nucleotides long. The record is from RefSeq and is a predicted model, not a curated record. NCBI's taxonomy places the organism in Eukaryota, Metazoa, Chordata, Actinopteri, Salmoniformes, Salmonidae.